RNAcentral lists this transfer RNA (74 nucleotides) under Thermodesulfobacteriota bacterium. Its description in RNAcentral is "tRNA-Arg". It matches the Rfam family "tRNA". From Rfam's summary of the family: Transfer RNA (tRNA) molecules are approximately 80 nucleotides in length. Their secondary structure includes four short double-helical elements and three loops (D, anti-codon, and T loops). The record is from RNAcentral. Lineage: Bacteria; Pseudomonadati; Thermodesulfobacteriota.
GGGCCUGUAGCUCAGCAGGACAGAGCACUGGCCUCCGGAGCCAGUUGUCGGGGGUUCAAAUCCCCCCAGGCCCA